AAUGGGAAGGGGUACUACUGGAACGGUAGCUAAUACCGCAUAAUGUCGCAAGACCAAAGAGGGGGUCCUUCGGGCCUCUUGCCAUCAGAUGUGCCCAGAUGGGAUUAGCUAGUAGGUGGGGUAACGGCUCACCCAGGGCGACGAUCCCUAGCUGGUCUGAGAGGAUGACCAGCCACACUGGAACUGAGACACGGUCCAGACUCCUACGGGAGGCAGCAGUGGGGGAAUAUUGCACAAUGGGGGCAAGCCUGAUGCACCCAUGCCGCGUGUAUGAAGAAAGCCUUCGGGUUGUAAAGUACUUUUCGCGGGGAGGAAGGUGUGAAGGUUAAUAACCUCAGCAAUUGACUUUACCCCAAAAAAACACCGGCUAACUCCGUG
RNAcentral lists this ribosomal RNA (378 nucleotides) under Enterobacter asburiae. RNAcentral describes it as "bacterial SSU rRNA". It matches the Rfam family "Bacterial small subunit ribosomal RNA", at positions 132 to 507 of the family's 1533-position model. Lineage: Bacteria; Pseudomonadati; Pseudomonadota; Gammaproteobacteria; Enterobacterales; Enterobacteriaceae. The record is from RNAcentral.